AAAAAUUGUUGUGAAUGGAUUAUGAAUUUUAUUUUUAUAUAAACAUUAAAAAAAAAAAAACUGAUGCCUUUACAUGACCAUGGCAAUAUACAUGAUAUCCUAUAGUAUUAUCCAAAUGCUAUUAACUUUGUCAAUGUUCAUUUUAGAUUCUGAGUGGACUGAAGAAGCUUAUGGUUUUACAGAAAUGUUUAUUUUUUUUUUCUAUGGAUAACUUUUCUACCAGAGAACUUGCUCUGAUUUGUACGUGUAGUAGUUUAUCUCAAAAGAAAUUAAUGCAGAGGGAUACCUUAGAGAAGUAGUUUUUUGAUUUUCUCAAGAGUUUUCUCAUACAAUGUGAAAAACAGGAAAAUGUAGAAAAUAUAUUUGUAUAAUACUAUGUUUUUUUUUCUGUGGACAACUUUUCUACCAGCAAUUUUGAUCCAACUAAUAAUCACAAUUUUUCUGUAAGGAAAUUUUACUG
Molecule: non-coding RNA, 460 nt
Organism: Cinara cedri
Lineage: Eukaryota; Metazoa; Arthropoda; Insecta; Hemiptera; Aphididae
Source: the annotation of a GenBank genome assembly